GACGAACGCUGGCGGCGUGCUUAACACAUGCAAGUCGAACGGAAAGGCCCUGCUUUUGUGGGGUGCUCGAGUGGCGAACGGGUGAGUAACACGUGAGUAACCUGCCCUUGACUUUGGGAUAACUUCAGGAAACUGGGGCUAAUACCGGAUAGGAGCUCCUGCUGCAUGGUGGGGGUUGGAAAGUUUCGGCGGUUGGGGAUGGACUCGCGGCUUAUCAGCUUGUUGGUGGGGUAGUGGCUUACCAAGGCUUUGACGGGUAGCCGGCCUGAGAAGGUGACCGGCGACAAUAGGACUGAGAGAGGGCCCAGACGCCUACGGGAGGCAGCGGUGGAGAAUAUUGCACAGUGGGCGGAAGCCUGAGGCAGCAACGCCGCGUGCGGGAUGACGGCCUUCGGGUUGUGAACCGCUUUCGCCUGUGACGAAGCGUGAGUGACGGUAAUGGGUAAAGAAGCACCGGCUAACUACGUG
RNAcentral lists this ribosomal RNA (468 nucleotides) under uncultured bacterium. RNAcentral describes it as "partial 16S ribosomal RNA". It matches the Rfam family "Bacterial small subunit ribosomal RNA", at positions 28 to 507 of the family's 1533-position model. The record is from RNAcentral.